ACGGGUGAGUAACACGUAAGGAACCUGCCUCAAGGAUUGGGAUAACUCCGAGAAAUCGGAGCUAAUACCGGAUAGUUCAACGGACCGCAUGGUCCGCUGAUGAAAGGCGCUCCGGCGUCACCUUGAGAUGGCCUUGCGGUGCAUUAGCUAGUUGGUGGGGUAACGGCCCACCAAGGCGACGAUGCAUAGCCGACCUGAGAGGGUGAUCGGCCACACUGGGACUGAGACACGGCCCAGACUCCUACGGGAGGCAGCAGUAGGGAAUCUUCCACAAUGGACGAAAGUCUGAUGGAGCAACGCCGCGUGAGUGAUGAAGGUUUUCGGAUCGUAAAACUCUGUUGUAAGGGAAGAACACGUACGAGAGGGAAUGCUCGUACCUUGACGGUACCUUACGAGAAAGCCACGGCUAACUACGUGCCAGCAGCCGCGGUAACACGUAGGUGGCAAGCGUUGUCCGGAAUUAUUGGGCGUAAAGCGCGCGCAGGCGGCCUUUUAAGUCUGAUGUGAAAGCCCCCGGCUCAACCGGGGAGGGCCAUUGGAAACUGGAAGGCUUGAGUACAGAAGAGAAGA
RNAcentral lists this ribosomal RNA (570 nucleotides) under uncultured bacterium. RNAcentral describes it as "bacterial SSU rRNA". It matches the Rfam family "Bacterial small subunit ribosomal RNA", at positions 102 to 660 of the family's 1533-position model. The record is from RNAcentral.